CGGGCGGCCGUGACCCUGCUGGAGUCCGGGGGGGACCUCCAGCCCCCCGGGGGGUCCCUGCGCCUCCUCUGCCGAGGACAAGGAUUCGAGUUCGGGAAAUUCAGCAUGUUCUGGAUCCGGCAGAGACCCGGGAAGGGGCUGGAAUUUGUCGCAUGGAUCCGCAGCACUGGGGUGGAAACCAAGUACGCGCCGUCGGUGGAGGGCCGGUUCCGGAUCUCCAGGGACAACGGGCAAAGCUCGGUGACGCUGAGCAUGAACAACCUCCAGGACGAGGAUUCCGGGGUUUAUUUCUGUGCCAAAUGCCUUGAUGGCGGGUGUGGUGCCGGCAGCCUCUGA
This is a non-coding RNA of Poecile atricapillus (Black-capped chickadee), 336 nucleotides long. The record is from the annotation of a RefSeq genome assembly. Lineage: Eukaryota; Metazoa; Chordata; Aves; Passeriformes; Paridae.